UUGCUUAGUUUGAUAAAUGUUGGAGCAGUUUGCUUCAUCAGGAGGGUGAAGUCGCUCAAUUUAAAGUGUUGGAUUUAACUGUGUUGGUGAGGGCGUAGAAAAAGGGGCAUUUUUCUACCAGUAGACAGCGUUUAAGAUUGAGUGUUUCACUGCUAAAUUAAUAAUAUAUUUAUAUUGAAUAUGGAUUUUAAAUAUGUAUCUAAAUAGGUGGUUAAUUGGUUAGGUAUUUAUGUAUUUGCAUAUUGGGUUUUCUGUUGCAUUUAUCUAUUGUGUUUCUGGUGUUAAAUGUAUUUUAUAUGUAUCUUGGUGCAUUUAUGUUGAGACAAUUUAUUUAAAAUCUGUUUUAACUUAAAGGGAAAAGAUGUGUCCAUUUUCUUGCACUUGUUUAAUGGUUAAGAGUUUGAUAGCUAAUUAAUAGUUGUAAAUUAUGGGAUUGAUAAUUGAUUGAUUUUUUACAGCAUGUUAAUCUUGUGGUGUUUUGUCCUUAAAGGUUUUUCACCUACUAAAGAAGCUAAAGGCUACUAAAGGCUACUAAAGACAGCUAAUGACAGCUAAAGAAACUAAAGUCUAUUAACACUGCUAAAGACUGCUAAAAAGACUAAAGAAGAAAAAAUAAGCUGUUUCUUGGUUGGAAAAACUGUUGCAAACUAAAGGAAAAUAAAAGGAAAAAGUAACUACGGUCUGGUCUUUUGAGUGAAAUCCAGAAGCCACAUUCAGCAUUGGUACAUCCCUUCAAGUGUGGGAUAAGCACAGCGAAAAAAGCAAAACACUUGACAGUUGUUGUAUGCACACUGUGUCGAGCGGAAAUGGCCUAUCAUAGCAGCACAACGGCUAGGAAGGAACAUUUGAAAAGAAAACACCCGACAGCGUUCUUGCCAUCACCAUCAACUAGUCAAUCGUCCGCGUACCUUCAGGAUGUACUCAUUCUUGACUGCUGGUCUGGUUGAGAUGGAGGGAGGCAUCCCUCUUGGGAUGGGGAUCAUCUUGGUCACAGUCUUUCUGCUGUGGGCGGCAACAGGCUUGGCUUCUUCCACAAGAAUAGGAAUCAUGGAAAUCAUCCUUUGACCCGGGAAAAUCCCAGUUUGUUUCCUGUACAAUAUCAGUCUGCCUUCGUCCCCGCGUGAUCGAGCUGUGCGCCUCGACUUCCUCUUUGGACUUUUCCACCCUUGAUCCUCGACCCCUGCUUUGCACACGGACCCCUUGACGCCUCUCUCAGCCCCACGGACCUCCCGCUUGUCUCAAGGACCUUCUUCUGCUUAGCCCCUUUGGACUUGUCUGCUUCCUCAUCCAACAAAUAGGUAAUACUCAACAGCUAAUAAUUCAUACACAUAGUCUCCCACCAUACACCCCUUUUGGAUUAGUCACACUCCAU
Molecule: long non-coding RNA, 1372 nt
Organism: Nerophis lumbriciformis (worm pipefish)
Lineage: Eukaryota; Metazoa; Chordata; Actinopteri; Syngnathiformes; Syngnathidae
Source: RefSeq, a predicted model, not a curated record